This 171-nucleotide ribosomal RNA is filed under the name uncultured archaeon. RNAcentral describes it as "partial 16S ribosomal RNA". It matches the Rfam family "Archaeal small subunit ribosomal RNA", at positions 593 to 762 of the family's 1478-position model. The record is from RNAcentral.
UAGGAGAGCGGGAGAGGCAGACGGUACUCCGCGGGUAGGGGUAAAAUCCUUUGAUCCAUGGAAGACCACCAGUGGCGAAGGCGGUCCGCCAGAACGCGCUCGACGGUGAGGGAUGAAAGCUGGGGGAGCGAACCGGAUUAGAUACCCGGGUAGUCCCAGCCGUAAACGAUG